CGGGGUGUUGCGCAGCUGGUAGCGCGCCUGCUUUGGGAGCAGGAGGCCCGGGGUUCGAGUCCCCGCACUCCGA
This 73-nucleotide transfer RNA is filed under the name Firmicutes bacterium ASF500. It matches the Rfam family "tRNA". Rfam says of the family: Transfer RNA (tRNA) molecules are approximately 80 nucleotides in length. Their secondary structure includes four short double-helical elements and three loops (D, anti-codon, and T loops). The record is from Rfam by way of RNAcentral. Lineage: Bacteria; Bacillati; Bacillota.